Molecule: transfer RNA, 56 nt
Filed under: Bos taurus (domestic cattle)
Lineage: Eukaryota; Metazoa; Chordata; Mammalia; Artiodactyla; Bovidae
Also listed under: 3 other names
Rfam family: tRNA
About the family: Transfer RNA (tRNA) molecules are approximately 80 nucleotides in length. Their secondary structure includes four short double-helical elements and three loops (D, anti-codon, and T loops).
Source: Rfam by way of RNAcentral
UGGCUCAGUGGUAAAGAAUCUGCCUGCAAUGCAGAAUACCUGGGUUCAAAUCCUGG